UACGUAGGUGGCGAGCGUUGUCCGGGUUUAUUGGGCGUAAAGCGAGCGCAGGUGGUUUAUUAAGUCUGGUGUAAAAGGCAGUGGCUCAACCAUUGUAUGCAUUGGAAACUGGUAGACUUGAGUGCAGGAGAGGAGAGUGGAAUUCCAUGUGUAGCGGUGAAAUGCGUAGAUAUAUGGAGGAACACCGGUGGCGAAAGCGGCUCUCUGGCCUGUAACUGACACUGAGGCUCGAAAGCGUGGGGAGCAAACAGG
Molecule: ribosomal RNA, 252 nt
Filed under: uncultured bacterium
Lineage: Bacteria
Description: partial 16S ribosomal RNA
Rfam family: Bacterial small subunit ribosomal RNA
Source: RNAcentral